GACGAACGCUGGCGGCGUGCUUAACACAUGCAAGUCGAACGGAAAGGCCCUGCUUGCAGGGUACUCGAGUGGCGAACGGGUGAGUAACACGUGGGUGAUCUGCCCUGCACUUCGGGAUAAGCCUGGGAAACUGGGUCUAAUACCGGAUAGGAGCCAUUUUUAGUGUGAUGGUUGGAAAGUUUUUUCGGUGUAGGAUGAGCUCGCGGCCUAUCAGCUUGUUGGUGGGGUAAUGGCCUACCAAGGCGGCGACGGGUAGCCGGCCUGAGAGGGUGGACGGCCACAUUGGGACUGAGAGACGGCCCAGACUCCUACGGGAGGCAGAAGUGGGGAAUAUUGCACAAUGGGCGCAAGCCUGAUGCAGAGACGCCGCGUGGGGGAUGACGGGCUUCGGGUUGUAAACUCCUUUCGCUAGGGAAGAAGCUGUUUGUGACGGUACCUAGAUAAGAAGCACCGGCUAACUACGUG
This 465-nucleotide ribosomal RNA is filed under the name uncultured bacterium. RNAcentral's name for it is "partial 16S ribosomal RNA". It matches the Rfam family "Bacterial small subunit ribosomal RNA", at positions 28 to 507 of the family's 1533-position model. The record is from RNAcentral.